UAAAGGGAAACUCUUCUUUCUAUAAGAGAUACAGGAAAAAUGAUAUCAGUGUCUGAGGCUCGAUUUUUCUAAGAAACUUUAU
Molecule: non-coding RNA, 82 nt
Organism: Onthophagus taurus
Lineage: Eukaryota; Metazoa; Arthropoda; Insecta; Coleoptera; Scarabaeidae
Source: RefSeq, a predicted model, not a curated record